RNAcentral lists this ribosomal RNA (253 nucleotides) under uncultured bacterium. Its description in RNAcentral is "partial 16S ribosomal RNA". It matches the Rfam family "Bacterial small subunit ribosomal RNA", at positions 524 to 776 of the family's 1533-position model. The record is from RNAcentral.
UACGUAGGAUGCAAGCGUUGUCCGGAUUUAUUGGGAUUAAAGGGUGCGUAGGCGGCCUAUUAAGUUAGUGGUGAAAACGUUCGGCUUAACCGGAUACCCGCCGUUGAUACUGAUAGACUUGAGUGCGACAGAGUGUGUUGGAAUGUGUGGUGUAGCGGUGAAAUGCUUAGAUAUCACGCAGAACACCAAUUGCGAAGGCAGAUGCCUAUGUCGUAACUGACGCUGAGGCACGAAAGCGUGGGGAGCAAACAGG